CGGACGGGUGAGUAAUGUCUGGGAAACUGCCUGAUGGAGGGGGAUAACUACUGGAAACGGUAGCUAAUACCGCAUAACGUCGCAAGACCAAAGAGGGGGACCUUCGGGCCUCUUGCCAUCAGAUGUGCCCAGAUGGGAUUAGCUUGUUGGUGGGGUAACGGCUCACCAAGGCGACGAUCCCUAGCUGGUCUGAGAGGAUGACAAGCCACACUGGAACUGAGACACGGUCCAG
This 232-nucleotide ribosomal RNA is filed under the name uncultured Enterobacterales bacterium. Its description in RNAcentral is "partial 16S ribosomal RNA". It matches the Rfam family "Bacterial small subunit ribosomal RNA", at positions 99 to 334 of the family's 1533-position model. Lineage: Bacteria; Pseudomonadati; Pseudomonadota; Gammaproteobacteria; Enterobacterales. The record is from RNAcentral.